GACGAACGCUGGCGGCGUGCUUAACACAUGCCAGUCGAACGGAAAGGCCUGCUUUCCCUUGUGGAUUGCGGGUACUCGAGUGGCGAACGGGUGAGUAACACGUGAGUGAUCUGCCCCCAACUUGGGUAUAAGCCUGGGAAACUGGGUCUAAUUCCCGAUAGGACUGCAGGGUGGUGCCUGUGGUGGAAAACGAUUUUCUAGUGGUUGGGGAUGAGCUCGCGGCCUGUCAGCUUGUUGGUGGGGUAAUGGCCUACCAAGGCGGCGACGGGUAGCCGGCCUGAGAGGGUGGACGGCCACAUUGGGACUGAGAUACGGCCCAGACUCCUACGGGAGGCAGCAGUGGGGAAUAUUGCCCAAUGGGCGGAAGCCUGAUGCAGCGACGCCGCGUGGGGGAUGACGGCCUUCGGGUUGUAAACUCCUUUCGACCGCGAGGAAGCCACCUGGUUGGAAGGGUGGUGACGGUAGUGGUAGAAGAAGCACCGGCUAACUACGUG
RNAcentral lists this ribosomal RNA (494 nucleotides) under uncultured bacterium. Its description in RNAcentral is "partial 16S ribosomal RNA". It matches the Rfam family "Bacterial small subunit ribosomal RNA", at positions 28 to 507 of the family's 1533-position model. The record is from RNAcentral.